This 527-nucleotide ribosomal RNA is filed under the name uncultured bacterium. RNAcentral's name for it is "bacterial SSU rRNA". It matches the Rfam family "Bacterial small subunit ribosomal RNA", at positions 777 to 1304 of the family's 1533-position model. The record is from RNAcentral.
AAUAGAUACCCGGGUAGUCCACGCCGUAAACGAUGAGUGCUAAGUGUUAGGGGGUUUCCGCCCUUUAGUGCUGAAGUUAACGCAUUAAGCACUCCGCCUGGGGAGUACGGCCGCAAGGCUGAAACUCAAAGGAAUUGACGGGGGCCCGCACAAGCGGUGGAGCAUGUGGUUUAAUUCGAAGCAACGCGAAGAACCUUACCAGGUCUUGACAUCCUCUGACAACCCUAGAGAUAGGGCUUCUCCUUCGGGAGCAGAGUGACAGGUGGUGCAUGGUUGUCGUCAGCUCGUGUCGUGAGAUGUUGGGUUAAGUCCCGCAACGAGCGCAACCCUUGAUCUUAGUUGCCAUCAUUUAGUUGGGCACUCUAAGGUGACUGCCGGUGACAAACCGGAGGAAGGUGGGGAUGACGUCAAAUCAUCAUGCCCCUUAUGACCUGGGCUACACACGUGCUACAAUGGACGGUACAAAGAGCUGCAAGACCGCGAGGUGGAGCUAAUCUCAUAAAACCGUUCUCAGUUCGGAUUGUAGG